Molecule: long non-coding RNA, 845 nt
Organism: Wasmannia auropunctata (little fire ant)
Lineage: Eukaryota; Metazoa; Arthropoda; Insecta; Hymenoptera; Formicidae
Exons: 4
Source: RefSeq, a predicted model, not a curated record
UAAAAUAAAAUUCUCUCCGUGUAUGAUUAAUAAUACUAUCUAAUCUGCCAAUAGUUUUUCGCAUAAUAAGAUAUUAUUCCAGAUGUGUUUUUUUUUAAGUGAUAUGACAUAUGUCAAAAACUUCACGAUUUCAGAUUAGUCCCUGAAAUUGGGCAUUACAUGCUAUGAAAAAAUAGCUGGGAAGUGAGGGGUAGCAAUAAGCGAACAUUGACACAUUUCAAUUUCACAAGUCCUACAAAUCCUAAAACUACGGCAUUGUUAUACAAAAUAUGUAAAAGGAAAGUGUCCAGUCUUGAAUCAAAAUUCUAACUAUACAACGGCGAGACGACAGAGAAUGUUCAGCUUAUUUCGAUGGAAAUAUUUACUAAAGAGAGUUUCAACAUUUAACAUAAAUCUGCGAAACAUCAACACAAAUGCAGCUAUGCAUUAUAAAUGCAUACUGAAAGACUAUCGGUAAUUUUCUUAAUUGAGAGAGAGAGAGAGAGAGAAGAUAGUACUGCCAGCAAAACAGCGUUUUGGUACGUCACUUGCGAAUCCUUCUAACGAGAGAAGAUUAUAGCUUCACGUUGCCAUGUACAGAUUUAGGAAUAACCUCAGGAAGUGAAGAGGCAUAAAAGAUAUUCUUCGAGGCGCAUAAUUUGUGCAGCAAGUUUUCCGGCAUCGGUUCUUGAGUUUGGAAAUGCUUCGCGAACUUCGAUACAACCUGUGAUUGCGUAAUUAAAACAUUCAUCGUGUAGUGCCAGCACAAAUUUGGAUCACUCGCAAAAUAUUCCAUUAGCACACUUGGCACUUCCGCGAAAUCUGUGCUGCAUCUAGUACCAGUGACGUGCUGAUAUUUCGUUCGA